Molecule: long non-coding RNA, 246 nt
Organism: Phyllostomus hastatus (greater spear-nosed bat)
Lineage: Eukaryota; Metazoa; Chordata; Mammalia; Chiroptera; Phyllostomidae
Exons: 3
Source: RefSeq, a predicted model, not a curated record
AGAGACCGAAUGCCUAUUAAGUAUGUAUCAUACCUGUAUUAACUCAUCAAGUCUUUCCAAGUCCAAGGUGAGUCACUUGCAGCAUAAAGCAGAAGGAAAAAGUCUAUUCAGAAACUUACGGAGCUAGAAGUGAGCCAGCUGGGCUUCAUGGGCUCAGGAAACAAGUUACAGAGACAGAAGAGGAGCUCUUGGAGCGUAGGAGAAAGGCAAAGAGAGAAGGGAAGGGAGGGAGAAAGAGCGAGAGAA